The sequence is a ribosomal RNA, 437 nucleotides long. It matches the Rfam family "Bacterial small subunit ribosomal RNA", at positions 341 to 792 of the family's 1533-position model.
ACGGGAGGCAGCAGUGGGGAAUAUUGGGCAAUGGGCGCAAGCCUGACCCAGCAACGCCGCGUGAAGGAUGAAGGUCUUCGGAUUGUAAACCUCUUUCAGCAGGGAAGAAGAAAGUGACGGUACCUGCAGAAGAAGUCACGGCUAACUACGUGCCAGCAGCCGCGGUAAUACGUAGGUGGCGAGCGUUAUCCGGAAUUACUGGGUGUAAAGGGUGUGUAGGCGGGGAAGCAAGUCAGAUGUGAAAAUUAUGGGCUCAACUCAUAACCUGCAUUUGAAACUGUUUUUCUUGAGAGUGGGAGAGGUAAACGGAAUUCCUGGUGUAGUAGUGAAAUGCGUAGAUAUCAGGAGGAACACCGGUGGCGAAGGCGGUUUACUGGACCACAACUGACGCUGAGACACGAAAGCGUGGGGAGCAAACAGGAUUAGAUACCCUGGUA